AUGUCAGCUCACCAUCUGAUACAGAGCAACAUCAGAGAAACAGGCAGCUCUGCCUGGAGGCUGCCACCCCCUUACAGACACCUUGAAAGCAGCAAUGGUGAGAUCCAGGCGAUAUUGGGAGCAACGCAGCAGGGGAUGCUCCCAGCGGAGGCCGAGAGUCAGAGGCAGGAGACGAAAAAGGAGGCAAGGGAGAAUGAGGAGAAGGGCAGGAGGGAGCAAGAAGUACCAUUACAGGAGGUUGAGCACCACUGCCCUGGAGCAGUAGGGACCUGCAGGUGUGGAUUUCCUGCCGGGAGGGUCUGUGUCACACCCCACCAAGGUCACAGGGAGAUCUCUGUCACCUCACAAACCUUUGACAUCACUGGUGGAGCCUCUGAAGUAUUUCUGGGUCUAUUUAAGAUGGGUAUGACGUGACCAUCAAUGAAGAAAGACAGGCUCUCUAAGAGG
RNAcentral lists this long non-coding RNA (447 nucleotides) under Anser cygnoides (Swan goose). RNAcentral's name for it is "lncRNA (ENSACDG00005002778.1)". Lineage: Eukaryota; Metazoa; Chordata; Aves; Anseriformes; Anatidae. The record is from RNAcentral.